UUUUGCUCAAAACUCAAAAUUGUGACUUAAACUUGCCUGUUCUGUUCUCAUCCGGCGAUGUGUUGUCUUGACUAUAAUGAUUGUUAGGCAGUUAUUGGUACGUAACAGAUUGUGUGUGAAUUGUUUCAACUCGCACAGUUUGCCAAAUAAUAGUCGUGUUUCAGAGACAAAUAAUGUGUUCGAUUUAUUGAACUAUAUUUUGGGACAUUUUGAAAUCAAGAGAACUAUGUCCUACUAGGUUCCAUAUUUCAAUCAUCAGAUAAUGUUAACAGGUUAAAAUAGACUUCUAUUAUGAAAUAAUGCCUCAAUUUAAAAGCAAGUGCGGUAGCGUACCACACAGAUGCUGAUAGCAGACACAACUUUUGGUAUCGUGGAAUUCUUAUUGGGUUUCUUUUGCUGACUUGAACUUCUCCAAGAUUUGCAUCAACCAAUUUUCUACAAUAUUUCAUUCCCUUGGAUAUUGCUUGGACCCCGGCAUACGUGCUUUCGAAUGAAUUCUCUCUUCAUUUAAAAAUGGCGACAAUUUUUUACGAAUGCAUGAGUGGAAUAUUCAGUUCCUCAUGUUAUUUUGUAAUCUAUGGAUUUUUGGUUUACGUCACAAUUCCGCUGAUUUUCAAGAUUUAUCCAAAAAUCGUCUUUGAAGGAUUAUUUCUCAACAGAGUCUGCCCACCUGUAUGAUUACUGAAGCUGAACAAACCAGACAAAGCCUACAAUCUUAAAGAGAGCAAGAACUGCUAUGUGAAGUCUUCGAGUGGAAGUAUUUUAGGCGUUUGGCAUAUUCCGCCAGUCACUCAGUACGAUACUCCAGAGGUCAAAUCAGGGUCAUUACAAGACGCUGAGAAAAUCAUCAUUUAUUGCCAUGGCAACUCGUUUCAUCGUGGUUUCAAGCAUCGAAGAGAUUUAUAUUCAGACCUGCAGAAAUCAGGAUUCCACAUCAUAGCUUUUGACUACAGUGGGUUUGCGGACUCUACCGGCCAGCCGAGUCCAACAAGAGUCGUAGAGGAUGCAAUUAGCGUGUAUAAGUGGACGGUCAAGCAGCUCCAGAAAGAAGAUG
Styela clava is the source of this 1054-nucleotide non-coding RNA. NCBI's taxonomy places the organism in Eukaryota, Metazoa, Chordata, Ascidiacea, Stolidobranchia, Styelidae. The record is from RefSeq and is a predicted model, not a curated record.